GUGGGGAAUUUUGGACAAUGGGCGCAAGCCUGAUCCAGCAAUGCCGCGUGCAGGAAGAAGGCCUUCGGGUUGUAAACUGCUUUUGUACGGAACGAAACGGUCCUGGCUAAUAUCCGGGGCUAAUGACGGUACCGUAAGAAUAAGCACCGGCUAACUACGUGCCAGCAGCCGCGGUAAUACGUAGGGUGCGAGCGUUAAUCGGAAUUACUGGGCGUAAAGCGUGCGCAGGCGGUGCUGUAAGACAGGCGUGAAAUCCCCGGGCUCAACCUGGGAAUUGCGCUUGUGACUGCAGUGCUGGAGUGCGGCAGAGGGGGAUGGAAUUCCGCGUGUAGCAGUGAAAUGCGUAGAUAUGCGGAGGAACACCGAGGGCGAAGGCAAUCCCCUGGGCCUGCACUGACGCUCAUGCACGAAAGCGUGGGGAGCAAACAGGAUUAGAUACCCGAGUAGUCC
RNAcentral lists this ribosomal RNA (450 nucleotides) under uncultured bacterium. RNAcentral's name for it is "partial 16S ribosomal RNA". It matches the Rfam family "Bacterial small subunit ribosomal RNA", at positions 354 to 796 of the family's 1533-position model. The record is from RNAcentral.